This 205-nucleotide long non-coding RNA is filed under the name Mytilus galloprovincialis (Mediterranean mussel). Lineage: Eukaryota; Metazoa; Mollusca; Bivalvia; Mytilida; Mytilidae. The record is from RNAcentral.
CAACCUUUAUAUAUAUUAUGUAUUAUCAUCAAAUACAACUUACAUUUCAAUAUUAUGAAUGAACACGAAUGCGGCCACUUUCAUUUCAGACGGAAACCGUCUAAAAUUUAACUAAAAUGCUACAAUUGUGAAUAUUUCAGUAAUUUAGCAUGACUUAAUGAUGCUAGUACCCGAUAUAUGUGCAUUGUUUUGUCAAAAACAGCCC